Molecule: ribosomal RNA, 815 nt
Filed under: uncultured bacterium
Lineage: Bacteria
Description: bacterial SSU rRNA
Rfam family: Bacterial small subunit ribosomal RNA
Source: RNAcentral
AGAGUUUGAUCAUGGCUCAGAACGAACGCUGGCGGCGUGGAUAAGACAUGCAAGUCGAACGCUAAUUUCAGGGUAGCAAUAUUCUGAAGUUGGAGUGGCGCAAGGGUGCGUAACACGUGGGUAAUUUGCCGUGAAGUUGGGGAUAACUCGCUGAAAGGCGAGCUAAUACCGAAUGUGAAAACCGGGGGGCAUCCCCUGGUUUUUGAAGUUGGGGACCGCAAGGCCUGACGCUUCACGAUAAGCCCGCGGCCUAUCAGCUAGUUGGUGAGGUAACGGCCCACCAAGGCUAAGACGGGUAGCUGGUCUGAGAGGACGACCAGUCACACUGGAACUGAGACACGGUCCAGACACCUACGGGUGGCAGCAGUCGAGAAUUUUUCUCAAUGGGCGAAAGCCUGAAGGAGCGACGCCGCGUGGGGGAUGAAGGGCUUCGGCCCGUAAACCCCUGUCAUUUGCGAACAAACCUUACGAUCUAAUAAGUCGUGAGCUGAUUGUAGCGAAAGAGGAAGGGACGGCUAACUCUGUGCCAGCAGCCGCGGUAAUACAGAGGUCCCAAGCGUUGUUCGGAUUCACUGGGCGUAAAGGGUGCGUAGGUGGCGGGAUAAGUUUGAUGUGAAAUCUCCGGGCUUAACCCGGAAACUGCAUUGAAUACUAUUCUGCUCGAGGGUUGGAAGGGGGACUGGAAUACUUGGUGUAGCAGUGAAAUGCGUAGAUAUCAAGUGGAACACCAGUGGCGAAGGCGAGUCCCUGGACAACUCCUGACACUGAGGCACGAAAGCUAGGGGAGCAAACAGGAUUAGAUACCCUAGUAGUCC